This is a non-coding RNA of Camellia sinensis, 2877 nucleotides long. NCBI's taxonomy places the organism in Eukaryota, Viridiplantae, Streptophyta, Magnoliopsida, Ericales, Theaceae. The record is from RefSeq and is a predicted model, not a curated record.
AAAAAAUAGUCAGGGAAAAAAAUAAUAAUGAGUUAGGGCUUAAAAACGUGGGUCUCUCUCUCUCUCGCUCGUCUGCCCUUCGAUUCUCUCUCUCGCUUUUGUCUCCAUCGCCGUCAAUACAGGAGCACCAUUGGCGCCGAAGCUCGUCGCACACGAGGACCAUCACAAACCAGCAGCCUAUAUCGUCUUAUCUCGGAGUCACGAUCCAUCAUUGGAGCACUACCCUAGGCCAAUCUAGAACCUUCUUGUUCGUCGACUUCCAUUGGCACAUGAGGUGAAUUUUGCUCUUUCCAUUGCUUUAGUAAUUGUUGAUAACUAUGGAAAAUAGCUCUUAGUAAAUAUUUAAAUGAGAAUUGUUACAACGUUUAUUUCUGUUAAUUUUGUAAAAGCAGCAACCUACUUUUGCUUAUGUGUUCUAUAAGCCAGUGAAAAUCCAUUAGAAAUUCUUGCUCUCUGUUUUGCUAUUCUAACCAAGUUUUGGGGGGAAAUAAUCAUGCUAUUGUGUUCCUUCUUGUGUCUGUUAUUACACUGUUAAUAGAUUUUUCAAAUUCAGUUCUAUAGCAUAGAUAUUCUGCUAAUAUUGCUGAAUAUAAUAGAUAUACUAUUCAAAGGCAUGUGCUUAGUUGAGAUGUAUCUUGAAUUUUGGUUUAACUAUAAUUGAAUAUGUUUCAAGCAAUAAAUGAUAAAGAGUCUUGUUGGAGUGCAUACACAAAGUUAUUAAGCAAAAUAGAGAAAAUAUGAUUAAGAUAUAUACCUGUUUGAUAUUUUACUUGUUGGCUGCUUAUCUUUCCUUUCAUUUUAUGCACAAUAGAUCUUCAUUCAAUGUGUUUAAACCAUGGUUAGAAACCCGUUACCAGUGUCCUUGAAUCCUUGGUCCUGAAAUAUUGUCUUAUGAUAGAUAUUUUGGAAGAUGUGCCUAAUUAUUAUGGGGAACUGUAGUCUUGCUGCAUAUGGUGACAAUUUAUAUUAGCUUGGUGCUACAGCAUAUUAUUGUUUGUUUGAAUGUUGUCUAAUUCAAGUAUUUGCACCAAAUGCUCGUAUUAUCUAGUGUAUUUCCAUGUGACAUUUGGUUUAACUUAUAUAGUUGCAGGAUGUUUAUUUUGAUUCAACCUUUGUCUCUUGAAUAGUACAACAGAUGUGUGCUAAUUGAUACAUAGAUCAGUUAUUUGCUAAAAUUUCCAUGUAGAUGAGCAAGUGAAGUGUUGGUGCCCACCACUUGGGAGUUUGUGUAACAUCAAGUGGAAAAUGAGUCUGACAUCAACAAUUAAAACCUAAUCAACUUCAGCUGAUCUAUCCAGCAAGCAACUAGCUUUGAUAAUAUAUCUAUGACAAAAGAUUGUUGAUUUUCAAGAAGUGAUACACAUUAAUACUAAGUAUGACAAAUUCAGUCCCUGCUUUGCAUUGUAGGCUUUCUUUCUUCAUCACCAUUUCUUUACUAACUUUAUUUGACUUUUAACUUUUUUUACAUGGGUUAUUAUACAAGACACCUUAGAUAUAUGCAUGAGUAAUACUAUCACAUGAAGCAUUUAGUAAUAAUCAGUUGGUAUGAUGUUUAGGAAUCUCUAUACUUCUCCAAGUUUACUUAAAUUUUUCUUCAAAUAGAUUUUUAUGUCAUUGAUCUUUUCAAAUAUGAUACUAGUUUACUGUAAGGACUGAGCCAACUUAAACUUUUAAUUAUAUUAAUAGGGACCUAGGAAAGUUUAUUGAAUCAUAACUAGAACUCAAGUCCAAUUUUUUGGCUGGUUGGCUUGGAGAGGAAGGAUAAAGACCUCUAGCUAUUUUCAAAGAAUUGGCAUUCUAAAUGGUGAAGCUAAUGUAAAUUGCAUUUUAUGAAAUGAAGAGGUGGAAGACUUAAACAAUGUGUUGCUCUUUCAUCCUUUUAUUUGGAAGGUCUGGUCUUAUAUUAUCAUAUGGUGAGGCUUGCAAUGGGUACUACUUGGCUCUAUGAAUUGCUUAUUACAAUGGUGGGUUGGUAUUAAAUUUAAAAAAACAGGAUAAUAUAAUCUGGAAGGCUAGGGCAGAGUAUUUAGGCUGGUGAUUUUGCUUUAGGUUUGUGCUGACAUUACUUGUUUUUGCUAUACAACCUUUUGUGUACCAUUUCCUAAUUCCAUGCUUCCAUACCCAUUUAGGCUUUAGUUACUUUAAACUUUGUAUUAAUCAUUUCUACACCUAUAUAAUCUCAUAUUAAACAAUCUGAAUUUUUUUGUAUGGUUGGGAUUGUUUAUCUUAUUUUUGGUUGAAUAUGAACCGUUAGAUUGAAGGUUUACCUUAAGGAUUAAACUAGGAUUAGUAAAGGACCUAUUUAUACAUCUUGUGGGACUAUUUUAAAGGGAAAAAAACACAACUUUUCUGAAUCUUGCAGUUCUCUUUGUUUUUGUUGGGGAAAUUUGGUUGUUAACAAUUUUGGAUUAUCAGCUGAAUUAUGAGAGGGGCAAUUGUUGAGCAAUCCAAGUUAAGAAGACUGAGGAUGUUGAUAAGGAUAAGAAGAAGAAGCGUUAAUCCAAUCCACGAUCCAAACAAAAUUCCUCUGUUUCAGUAUAUUCCUCAUUGGUUUGAAACCAAAUGAGCCAUAUUUGAGCGUUUUUUCGAACGAUAUACAAUCCUCUUAUCGAUAGCAAUUAUAUGGCCAUAUACAGCAUUUCUGACUGCAGCAGGUGCAUAUAAUAAAAGGCCCCCAAAUAUUCAGUCUAGUUGCCGUGUUGACCGCUCUGGGAUCCUUGAAGGCGCUUCUUGGUUGCUUUUGCGUGGGUUAUUGUGAAUAUUUAUUGUUGUGUACGAAGAGCAUUUGUUCUGUGUAUGGAAGACAUUUAUUUUUGUACAAUCGUCUGUUUUGAAAAUCUAGUGUUUUUGUAUGUAAUAUUUAAUUUAGAUAAAUUA